GCCGGGAUGGCGGAAUUGGCAGACGCACAGGACUUAAAAUCCUGCGAUAGCAAUAUCGUACCGGUUCGACCCCGGUUCUCGGCACCA
Molecule: transfer RNA, 87 nt
Filed under: Bacillota bacterium
Lineage: Bacteria; Bacillati; Bacillota
Also listed under: 3 other names
Description: tRNA-Leu
Rfam family: tRNA
About the family: Transfer RNA (tRNA) molecules are approximately 80 nucleotides in length.
Source: RNAcentral